GUGCCAGCAGCCGCGGUAAUACGGAGGAUGCGAGCGUUAUCCGGAUUUAUUGGGUUUAAAGGGUGCGUAGGCGGAUUAAUAAGUCAGUGGUGAAAACCUUCAGCUUAACUGGAGACUUGCCAUUGAUACUGUUAGUCUUGAGUACGGUCAAGGUAGGCGGAAUGUGUAAUGUAGCGGUGAAAUGCUUAGAUAUUACACAGAACACCGAUUGCGAAGGCAGCUUACUGGGCCAUUACUGACGCUGAUGCACGAAAGCGUGGGGAGCGAACAGGAUUAGAUACCCUGGUAGUCCACGCCGUAAACGAUGAUCACUCGCUGUUAGCGAUACACAGUUAGCGGCUAAGCAAAAGCAUUAAGUGAUCCACCUGGGGAGUACGGCCGCAAGGCUGAA
This 391-nucleotide ribosomal RNA is filed under the name uncultured bacterium. Its description in RNAcentral is "bacterial SSU rRNA". It matches the Rfam family "Bacterial small subunit ribosomal RNA", at positions 505 to 898 of the family's 1533-position model. The record is from RNAcentral.